GACGAACGCUGGCGGCGUGCUUAACACAUGCAAGUCGAGCGGUAAGGCCCUUUCGGGGGUACACGAGCGGCGAACGGGUGAGUAACACGUGGGUGACCCGCCCUCAGCUCUGGGAUAAGCCUGGGAAACUGGGUCUAAUACUGGAUAUGACUCCACGGUGCAUGUCGUGGGGUGGAAAGCCUUGUGCGGCUGAGGAUGGGCCCGCGGCCUAUCAGCUUGUUGGUGGGGUGAUGGCCUACCAAGGCGACGACGGGUAGCCGGCCUGAGAGGGCGACCGGCCACACUGGGACUGAGACACGGCCCAGACUCCUACGGGAGGCAGCAGUGGGGAAUCUUGCGCAAUGGGCGAAAGCCUGACGCAGCGACGCCGCGUGAGGGAUGACGGCCUGGUGUAACU
RNAcentral lists this ribosomal RNA (397 nucleotides) under uncultured bacterium. RNAcentral describes it as "bacterial SSU rRNA". It matches the Rfam family "Bacterial small subunit ribosomal RNA", at positions 28 to 430 of the family's 1533-position model. The record is from RNAcentral.